This 433-nucleotide ribosomal RNA is filed under the name uncultured bacterium. RNAcentral's name for it is "partial 16S ribosomal RNA". It matches the Rfam family "Bacterial small subunit ribosomal RNA", at positions 29 to 507 of the family's 1533-position model. The record is from RNAcentral.
AACGAACGCUGGCGGCAUGCCUAACACAUGCAAGUCGAACGAGACCUUCGGGUCCAGUGGCGCACGGGUGCGUAACGCGUGGGAACCUGCCCUUAGGUUCGGAAUAACUCCCCGAAAGGGGUGCUAAUACCGGAUAAUGUCUUCGGACCAAAGAUUUAUCGCCUUUGGAUGGGCCCGCGUUGGAUUAGCUAGUUGGUAGGGUAAAAGCCUACCAAGGCGACGAUCCAUAGCUGGUCUGAGAGGAUGAUCAGCCACACUGGGACUGAGACACGGCCCAGACUCCUACGGGAGGAAGCAGUGGGGAAUAUUGGACAAUGGGCGAAAGCCUGAUCCAGCAAUGCCGCGUGAGUGAUGAAGGCCUUAGGGUUGUAAAGCUCUUUUACCCGGGAUGAUAAUGACAGUACCGGGAGAAUAAGCUCCGGCUAACUCCGUG